This 497-nucleotide ribosomal RNA is filed under the name uncultured bacterium. RNAcentral's name for it is "partial 16S ribosomal RNA". It matches the Rfam family "Bacterial small subunit ribosomal RNA", at positions 28 to 507 of the family's 1533-position model. The record is from RNAcentral.
GACGAACGCUGGCGGCGUGCCUAAUACAUGCAAGUAGAACGCUGAAGAGAGGAGCUUGCUCUUCUUGGAUGAGUUGCGAACGGGUGAGUAACGCGUAGGUAACCUGCCUUGUAGCGGGGGAUAACUAUUGGAAACGAUAGCUAAUACCGCAUAACAAUGGAUGACACAUGUCAUUUAUUUGAAAGGGGCAAUUGCUCCACUACAAGAUGGACCUGCGUUGUAUUAGCUAGUAGGUGAGGUAAUGGCUCACCUAGGCGACGAUACAUAGCCGAUCUGAGAGGGUGAUCGGCCACACUGGGACUGAGACACGGCCCAGACUCCUACGGGAGGCAACAGUAGGGAAUCUUCGGCAAUGGGGGCAACCCUGACCGAGCAACGCCGCGUGAGUGAAGAAGGUUUUCGGAUCGUAAAGCUCUGUUGUAAGUCAAGAACGGGUGUGAGAGUGGAAAGUUCACACUGUGACGGUAGCUUACCAGAAAGGGACGGCUAACUACGUG